AUAGCUCAACUAUUAGGCUUUCGGGGGAUACUGCCAGGACUUGGAACCGGGAGAGGUAAGAGGGUACUACAGGGGUAGGAAGUGAAAUCUUGUAAUCCCCUGUGGGACCACCUGUGGCCGAAGGCGUCUUACCAGAACGGGUUCGACGGUGAGGGACGAAAGCUGGGGGGCACGAACCGGAUUAGAUACCCGGGUAGUCCCAGCCGUAAACGAUGCUCGCUAGGUGUCAGGCAUGGCGCGACCGUGUCUGGUGCCGCAGGGAAGCCGUGAAGCGAGCCACCUGGGAAGUACGGCCGCAAGGCUGAAACUUAAAGGAAUUGGCGGGGGAGCACAACAACGGGUGGAGCCCUGCGGUUUAAUUGGACUCAACGCCGGACAACUCACCGGGGGCGACAGCAAUAUGUAGGCCAAGCUGAAGACUUUGCCUGAAUCGCUGAGGAGUGGUGCAUGG
RNAcentral lists this ribosomal RNA (451 nucleotides) under uncultured archaeon. RNAcentral's name for it is "bacterial SSU rRNA". It matches the Rfam family "Archaeal small subunit ribosomal RNA", at positions 554 to 997 of the family's 1478-position model. The record is from RNAcentral.